CGAGGUCGGUCAGCCUUAAGAAGAGCCCACUGACUGGGACAUUUGGGAGCUAUUCCCCCUCCAGUGCCCCUUGGAAAUUUGAGCCCUGAUUAUUAAUAUAUUGACUGCUAUAAUGUUUAUCCUUCUCUCUGUAGAUAGGGAAAGGAAUUUUGCUCAAUUCAACUACGUCAAUGAACAAAAUAGCCAGAAGGACCGACUAUGGGAAGAAAUUCAUGAGCUUUGUCAUGAGAUCCAGGAGAUUCAAAAGCGAAACAGUCAAAGGGAGGCCCAGCAGCUGUUGCAGCUCCACGAAAUUGAAGGCCAACAGGAGGACACUGUGAAAGAGGCCAAUCAGGCUGAACAGAAUGUGAAAAGGUUCCUCAAGAUUUGGGAACAGCUUAAAAGUGGUGAGCAAUGAGGGGAGAAAAAGGAGUUGCAACUGAAUAAUAAUGAGAAAGCUUUUCUCCAAAGCUUUGCAGAUAGGGACUGGCUCAUGACAGCUAUGCCUUUUUUUAAUUCCUCCCAAGAGUGCACUAUCUUUUGGGAAUGUGCCACCUAUUGUGAUUGUUGCCAGGAUGAUCACAACCAAUUGUAGAAUUUCAGGUCAUCAGUUAAGUUAGCACUGGUGCCACAGCUCCUCCCUGGUACCCAAGAUUGCCCCCAGUCCCCUCAUCACCGUUGUUUUCCUUGUGUUUUUAAAAUUGAUGUAUGUGAAGCCAACAGACUUCAGGAUCAAAAACUUAAUUAUAGCCACCUACGAUGAUGGACAGCAUAUAUUGGGAGAACUAGGAAGCUUAAUGGACAUCAAAGUUCAUGUGUUGACAGCAAUGAGCACUAGAUUAGCUCUCCUUGCCAUAUUCUGUGUCAGAUGCUGCACCCUCGCAGUAAAAGCAGCGAGCAUGUGCAGAUGUGUAUGAUCCAAACAAGUGGUAGGCCAACAUUAUUUAGUGUGACAUAUCAUGACCUGAUAUAGUGAGGUGGGGGGUUCACUUAUGUAUCUCUUUCUUCCAGUAAAUACUGGUCCUACAAAUAUGGUCACAUUCUGUUUUUUAGCACUAGAAAU
This 1042-nucleotide long non-coding RNA is filed under the name Notechis scutatus (mainland tiger snake). Its description in RNAcentral is "lncRNA (ENSNSUG00000019545.1)". The record is from RNAcentral. Lineage: Eukaryota; Metazoa; Chordata; Lepidosauria; Squamata; Elapidae.